AGAAGUUUAGGAUAAAUAAACCGAAAGCCUUCAAAGCUUUAAAUAGAAAUCAGCCCAUCUAACUUCU
Molecule: transfer RNA, 67 nt
Filed under: Typhlonectes compressicauda
Lineage: Eukaryota; Metazoa; Chordata; Amphibia; Gymnophiona; Typhlonectidae
Description: tRNA-Trp
Source: RNAcentral